UUGAACGCUGGCGGCAUGCUUUACACAUGCAAGUCGAACGGCAGCGCGGGCUUCGGCCUGGCGGCGAGUGGCGAACGGGUGAGUAAUGCAUCGGAACGUGCCCAGUAGUGGGGGAUAGCCCGGCGAAAGCCGGAUUAAUACCGCAUUCGACCUGAGGGUGAAAGCGGGGGACCGAAAGGCCUCGCGCUAUUGGAGCGGCCGAUGUCGGAUUAGCUAGUUGGUGGGGUAAAGGCUUACCAAGGCGACGAUCCGUAGCUGGUCUGAGAGGACGACCAGCCACACUGGGACUGAGACACGGCCCAGACUCCUACGGGAGGCAGCAGUGGGGAAUUUUGGACAAUGGGGGCAACCCUGAUCCAGCCAUGCCGCGUGCGGGAAGAAGGCCUUCGGGUUGUAAACCGCUUUUGUUCGGGAAGAAAUCCUCUGGGCUAAUACCCCGGGGGGAUGACGGUACCGGAAGAAUAAGCACCGGCUAACUACGUG
RNAcentral lists this ribosomal RNA (483 nucleotides) under uncultured bacterium. Its description in RNAcentral is "partial 16S ribosomal RNA". It matches the Rfam family "Bacterial small subunit ribosomal RNA", at positions 29 to 507 of the family's 1533-position model. The record is from RNAcentral.